CUACGGGGGGCAGCAGUGAGGAAUAUUGCACAAUGGGGGGAACCCUGAUGCAGCAACGCCGCGUGGAGGAUGACGCAUUUCGGUGUGUAAACUCCUUUUAUAUGUCGAGAAAAUGACGGUAGCAUAUGAAUAAGCACCGGCUAACUCCGUGCCAGCAGCCGCGGUAAUACGGAGGGUGCAAGCGUUACUCGGAAUCACUGGGCGUAAAGGACGCGUAGGCGGGCUUGUAAGUCAGGUGUGAAAUCCUACAGCUUAACUGUAGAACUGCACUUGAAACUACGAGCCUAGAGUAUGGGAGGGGGAGAUGGAAUUAGUGGUGUAGGGGUAAAAUCCGUAGAUAUCACUAGGAAUACCUAAAGCGAAGGCGAUCUCCUGGAACAUAACUGACGCUAAGGCGUGAAAGCGUGGGGAGCAAACAGGAUUAGAUACCCUCGUAGUC
This 439-nucleotide ribosomal RNA is filed under the name uncultured bacterium. RNAcentral's name for it is "partial 16S ribosomal RNA". It matches the Rfam family "Bacterial small subunit ribosomal RNA", at positions 339 to 795 of the family's 1533-position model. The record is from RNAcentral.